AUACGUAGGUGGCAAGCGUUGUCCGGAUUUAUUGGGCGUAAAGCGAGCGCAGGCGGUCUCUUAAGUCUGAUGUGAAAGCCCCCGGCUCAACCGGGGAGGGUCAUUGGAAACUGGGAGACUUGAGUGCAGAAGAGGAGAGUGGAAUUCCCUGUGUAGCGGUGAAAUGCGUAGAUAUAUGGAGGAACACCAGUGGCGAAGGCGGCUCUCUAGUCUGUAACUGACGCUGAGGCUCGAAAGCGUGGGGAGCAAACAGGAUUAGAUACCCUGGUAGUCCACGCCGUAAACGAUGAGUGCUAAGUGUUGGAGGGUUUCCGCCCUUCAGUGCUGCAGCUAACGCAUUAAGCACUCCGCCUGGGGAGUACGGCCGCAAGGCUGAAACUCAAAUGAAUUGACGGGG
This 397-nucleotide ribosomal RNA is filed under the name uncultured bacterium. RNAcentral's name for it is "partial 16S ribosomal RNA". It matches the Rfam family "Bacterial small subunit ribosomal RNA", at positions 523 to 918 of the family's 1533-position model. The record is from RNAcentral.